GGAGGUGAACACAGAGGGAAGGUGAUGGGUCUGGACUUCGCAGACUCCUGAAAGGGAGGGCAGCGAGGGGCCGGUUUCAGCAAAGUGUCAGAGUCCCUCUGAGCUCGGGGAAAGAGUUUAAAGAGGACACAUCAGUGUCGGGUCCAGUGUCGGGAGCAAAGAGGCCGGAAGCACAAAGCCUUCUGGGAGGAAGAAGAGAGGUCGAACUCGCCUGGAAGCCAGCGUGAAUUUUCCAAGUCCGUGGCCUUGGCAAGGGUCAUCCCAGUGCACCGGCCCCGAGCACCCUGUCUCAUGCAUUGAACCUGGACUGGCGAUCUGUUGCACAUAUGGUGAGGACUCGAAAAGAUGAUGGGCUCUCCCCAGAACUUGACUUUGCUGGCAUCUUGAGCUCAGACUUGCAACCUGCAAAAGCCAGAAUCUCCCACCAGCUUCAGAAGGACUUUCACCUGGAACCAGGAGGAAGUGCAAUUGACUAGCGUGUGACGCUUGGAGCUGUGUUAGAAACUAACUCGGGGCUUCUCAGGUGUGGUCAGAGGGUCAUCUGCAUCAAAGGAAUUUGUUAAAAGUUUGGAUCCCAGGCUCCAUGCCACACCUUCCCAAUCAGAGCUCCAGGGCCUGUGGCCACAGAGCCUACAUUUAUAACACACUCCCCAGGAGACUCUGAUGUCCUCAGGGUUUAUGAGCCUCGGAAGUCAUCAGGAGCUACCACGCCACACACAGGGGCCAGUCUGGUCAUGUGAAGGCGUCUGGGGGCCCCUGUAGGGCUGGCCCACAUCAAGCCCCAUGUGGCAUUUGGCCGUAACCCUGCAGAGGCAGCUGGGGCGCACUGGGACCCCCACGUGGGCCCCUGACUUCCCAUUGUCCCUUUUCAACCUCACCAUUCCUGAAACGCCAAAAAAACAGCCCCCUCUGUUAAGUCUCUUCUUUUCACUCUUUUUAAAGAGGCGACUUCUGACUAGAUCAGACGAAUUCAUAUUCUGAAUGUGCUUUUGUAUUAAAAUAAGAGGGAAAAACUGGAAAAGAGGUAAGUGCUGUGGUCAAGGUUUUGAGGCUACAGAUGUUCUUCAGGUGACUGUUGGCUACAUAUGUUUUCCCCUCUAUGAGUCAAAAAAAAAUUAUUCCACUUUAUAUAACUCCGCAAACAGACUAGAAUUCUCUCACUCCAAAUUUGCUUUGCUUGCAUUUUAAGGUAUUGGAGAUUAUUCCACUGGUAUUGGUGGCUCAGAUGGUAAAUCUCCCAGCCAAUGCAGGAGAUGCAGGUUCCUUCCCUGGGUCAGAAAGAGCCUCUGGAGGAGGAAAUGGCACCCCACUCCAGUGUUCUUGCCUGGAGAAUUCCAGAGGCAGAGGAGUCUGGCGGGCUACAGUCUGUGAGGUCUCAGAGUCGGACACGACUGAGUGACUGAGCAUUCAUUCCAGAACAAAGUGCUUUAAAGGCUCCUUUAAAUAGCAAACCCCUAAUGCCUUUAGACUAACUUGAUUAUCAAGAAGAAAACAUUAUUUCAAAAUCACCUGUGACUUUAAAACUAUUCAUGAUGCAAGCAGGUGUCCAUGUGCACCUGUAACGCACUGCCUGCUGGGAACAGAGACAGCGUUCCUCCUCACCAGUGUCCAGCGGAAACAGUCGCCAGGCUCAUCGUUCAGAGGACGAAGUUUGUUUGACUUAUUACCUGAGGGAAAGGAAGCAGGCGACAAAGCUGGCUGAUAUUUUUAGAAAACUAGCAACAUUUUGAGCUGGCCCUUAGCAAGAUUAGAUGUGGUGUGAGGAGCUGAGUCCUGGAUAUAAUUCUCGAGAAAAAGGAGGGUGCU
Bos taurus (domestic cattle) is the source of this 1806-nucleotide long non-coding RNA. NCBI's taxonomy places the organism in Eukaryota, Metazoa, Chordata, Mammalia, Artiodactyla, Bovidae. The record is from Ensembl.